This is a long non-coding RNA of Sander lucioperca (pikeperch), 151 nucleotides long. RefSeq lists it as uncharacterized. Lineage: Eukaryota; Metazoa; Chordata; Actinopteri; Perciformes; Percidae. The transcript has 3 exons. The record is from RefSeq and is a predicted model, not a curated record.
CCUUUGUCUGGGAUGGCUCAGUUGGUAGAGCAGGCGCACAUAUGCAGAGGUUUAUUCCUUGACGCAGAAGGUCUAGGGUUCAAAUCCAAUCUUGCAGGUUUUCCUGCAUGUCUUUCACUCUCUCUCCUUUCAUAUCUCAGCCUUCCUAUCC